This is a long non-coding RNA of Asterias rubens (European starfish), 1633 nucleotides long. RefSeq lists it as uncharacterized. NCBI's taxonomy places the organism in Eukaryota, Metazoa, Echinodermata, Asteroidea, Forcipulatida, Asteriidae. The transcript has 3 exons. The record is from RefSeq and is a predicted model, not a curated record.
AUUUAUAUCUUCAAGAUGGCAAGCUACACACUUAUGGUUCUUCUCUCGGUCACCACGCUAUUUGUAGCAGUCCUCUCAACGGAAUUCAACGAUGACGAAACAGAGCUCUUGUAUCAGCUUUAUAAUGAAGAGAUGCAAAAACGAGACGACGGCUCUUUAAUGAGUUACCUCUUGCAGAAAAGAGGCAGGGGAGGAUCAGCACGAAAAUGCUUGUACAAACAAAGGGAAUGCACAUGUGACUACAGAUUUGGCCCCGAUAAUGAAAGGAGAUACAUCAGGUGCAACAAGGCAUAAAAGGGACACCGUACUUUUUGUGGAGGCCAGCGAUAUUGACGACCAGCAAUGACGACAUCAAACUACCCUUACUUCUGGAAAUGGAAUCAACGUUCAUCCUUAAAACAAUUAUAACUUGUUGCUUUAGAGACUUUGAUUUCAGAAAUCACUUCCGUCAUUAGUAUAUGAUUAAAACUAAUGGUUUAUGUUAAAUUUAAUGUUCAUAAAGACAGUUAUUCACGAUGCAUUUUAAGCCCAUGUUGGAAUUGUUUAUGCAAAUUGUGUAGUGUAAACAUGAUAAGCUGUGGGGGAAAAGUCCAAUGGUAUCAAGAAGGACCAGUGCGUUCAGUGCCUUUAGUGCGUUGCAACUCGCCACAUUGCGUUUUUAGUUUCAUCUCGCUGACUUGAGGAUUUGAAAUGGAUUAAGCUGAAAACAAGAACAUAAUCAAUUCGCACAUGCAGCUUCUGCCAAAUCCUGUAAGUUGACUCCUUUAUAAACAAUUCAUAUAUUGAAAUGUAUUUCGGAGUUGAGAGGGUUAGGGUUUUCUCGUGUUAACUUAAACUUUUAGAUGUAUCUUGUACUUGGCGAAAUCAAUAUUUAACAUAAUGUGCUGCACGUUGGAGCAUCACACAAUGAAACUAAUAAACUAUAAUCUUUAAUAAGGAUUACAAUGAGGACGCUUGGUGGCAGCAGACUGCAUAAUGAUCUAUAUAUAAACGGAAAUGGGCGAAGGCUCAGAACACCGACUGUUUCUCGGUACUUACUGCUGUCACGCAGAUGUAACUAAAGUCCUUAAGUUAACUACUGAAAUUCUAGCACCUACUUUGAAAUGAAUAGCAUAUUAUACAAUAUUAAUGCUUGUAAUAUGUACUACAUGAUUGUGCCGACCGAAGGGGAAACUUUAAGGCCUUUGGAAACCGAAGCUCUUCUGCGUGCUUCAGCUUGAGUGUCGCAUCGUAACCUGAACUCGUGGCCGUGGUUUCGAGAAGACCCAUGGUCACGAUGACCUUAAUUAGGUCUUAGGAUAUCAACUUUCAAAAAACACUUGUUCUGCACAUUGUCGGUUUGAAUUAAAACGUAAAACCAUUCAAUAUUAAUAUCGUAUUUUUCUAUAACAUUUAUUUAUUACUUGUUGGUUUUUAUUUUGAGGUAAUAAUUUUGUUUUUUAUUACAAUUUUUUUCACAUAAAUUUGUUCUAUUGAUUACGAUUUUUUUUUUUUCUAAUUCACAGUAACCUAUUCUGAUAUUUCAUGGCAACUUUCUAGUUACACAAAUAUCCUGGUUAAAUCAAGAAGCCAUUGCAUUUUUCUAUGAUAAUAGUAGUAGCUUAUAAUGGGUGCGUUCGUUUAGCUUCCCUGG